AUACGGAGGGUCCGAGCGUUAUCCGGAAUUAUUGGGUUUAAAGGGUCCGUAGGCGGGCCGGUAAGUCAGUGGUGAAAGUCUGUAGCUCAACUAUAGAAUUGCCUUUGAUACUGCCGGUCUUGAGUUAUGGUGAAGUUGCCGGAAUAUGUGGUGUAGCGGUGAAAUGCAUAGAUAUCACAUAGAACACCGAUUGCGAAGGCAGGUGACUAACCAUAUACUGACGCUGAUGGACGAAAGCGUGGGGAGCGAACAGGAUUAGACACCCUGGUAGUCCACGCCGUAAACGAUGGAUACUAGCUGUCCGGGUCCUUGAGACCUGGGCGGCCAAGCGAAAGUGAUAAGUAUCCCACCUGGGGAGUACGUUCGCAAGAAUGAA
This 376-nucleotide ribosomal RNA is filed under the name uncultured bacterium. Its description in RNAcentral is "bacterial SSU rRNA". It matches the Rfam family "Bacterial small subunit ribosomal RNA", at positions 523 to 898 of the family's 1533-position model. The record is from RNAcentral.